RNAcentral lists this ribosomal RNA (529 nucleotides) under uncultured bacterium. RNAcentral describes it as "bacterial SSU rRNA". It matches the Rfam family "Bacterial small subunit ribosomal RNA", at positions 980 to 1509 of the family's 1533-position model. The record is from RNAcentral.
CUUGACAUCCAGCGAACUUUCCAGAGAUGGAUUGGUGCCUUCGGGAACGCUGAGACAGGUGCUGCAUGGCUGUCGACAGCUCGUGUUGUGAAAUGUUGGGUUAAGUCCCGNAACGAGCGCAACCCUUAUCCUUUGUUGCCAGCGAUUCGGUCGGGAACUCAAAGGAGACUGCCGGUGAUAAACCGGAGGAAGGUGGGGAUGACGUCAAGUCAUCAUGGCCCUUACGAGUAGGGCUACACACGUGCUACAAUGGCGCAUACAAAGAGAAGCGACCUCGCGAGAGCAAGCGGACCUCAUAAAGUGCGUCGUAGUCCGGAUCGGAGUCUGCAACUCGACUCCGUGAAGUCGGAAUCGCUAGUAAUCGUGGAUCAGAAUGCCACGGUGAAUACGUUCCCGGGCCUUGUACACACCGCCCGUCACACCAUGGGAGUGGGUUGCAAAAGAAGUAGGUAGCUUAACCUCCGGGAGGGCGCUUACCACUUUGUGAUUCAUGACUGGGGUGAAGUCGUAACAAGGUAGGCGUAGUGCU